RNAcentral lists this non-coding RNA (106 nucleotides) under Aureoumbra lagunensis. Lineage: Eukaryota; Pelagophyceae; Sarcinochrysidales; Sarcinochrysidaceae. The record is from RNAcentral.
GAUUAAAGAAAGAUGGAAAACCAACAAAAAAGAAUAAAUCAUAUUGCAAUAAUCUUAUGUCCCCUAUUGUCUACCUCAUUCUUCUUUUUUUUUACAUUUUUUUCUA